CGGAGGGUGCAAGCGUUAUCCGGAUUUACUGGGUUUAAAGGGUGUGUAGGCGGACUUUUAAGUCAGGGGUGAAAUCCCGAGGCUCAACCUCGGAACUGCCUUUGAUACUAUUGGUCUUGAAUGUUGUUGAGGUGGGCGGAACGGGUCAUGUAGCGGUGAAAUGCAUAGAUAUGACCCGGAACACCGAUUGCGAAGGCAGCCCGCUAAGCAACUAUUGACGCUGAGGCACGAAAGCGUGGGGAUCAAACAGGAUUAGAUACCCUGGUAGUCCACGCCCUAAACGAUGAUUACUCGACGUUGGCGAUACACUGAUCAGCGUCCAAGCGAAAGCAUUAAGUAAUCCACCUGGGAAGUACGUUCGCAAGAAUG
RNAcentral lists this ribosomal RNA (369 nucleotides) under uncultured organism. Its description in RNAcentral is "bacterial SSU rRNA". It matches the Rfam family "Bacterial small subunit ribosomal RNA", at positions 526 to 896 of the family's 1533-position model. The record is from RNAcentral.